UAAAAAUUUUAAUAGUUUAAAAAUUUUAAUUUAAAUUUAUUUUACAUAUAAAUUUUAGUAUAUAAUUUUAUUUAUUUUGAUAAUAAUUAAUUUUAAUAGUAGUAAUUAAUAUUAAAAAUUUAAGAAAUUAAGAUUUAGUAAUAUAAAAAUUAAUAACUAAUUUUGUGCCAGCAGUUGCGGUUAAACAAAAGUUAAAUUAAAUUUUUUUAGAUAUAUUAAAUAAAUACUUUUAUUUAAUUUAAAAAUUAUAUUAUUAGGUAAAAUUAUAAUUUAAUAAAAAAUUAAUAUUGAUUUAUGAAUUAAUAAAUUUAUAGUUAAACUAGGAUUAGAUACCCUAUUAUUAAAAAUUUAAAUUUAAAAUAUUAAAAUAGUAGAUAUAAAAUAUUGAAACUUAAAUUAUUUGGCGGUAUUUUAGUUCAUUUAGAGGAAUCUGUUUAAUAAUUGAUAAUCCACGAAUAAAUUUACUUAAUUUAAAAUUUUAUAUAUCGUUGUUAAAAAAAAUAUUUUUAAAAAAAAUUAAUAUUUUAAUUUUAUUAUAAAAAUUUAAAUCAAAUCAAGAUGUAGAUUAUAAUUAAGAAUAUAAUGGAUUACAAUAAAAAAAUUUUUGGAUAUUAAUUUGAAAUUGUUAAUUAAAAUUGGAUUUAAAUGUAAUUUUAUAUAAUUUUUUAAAGUGAUUAAAAAUUAAAAUAUGUACAUAUUGCCCGUCGCUUUCAUUUAUAAAUUGAAAUAAGUCGUAACAAAGUAGAGGUACUGGAAAGUGUUUCUAGAAAGAA
Molecule: non-coding RNA, 773 nt
Filed under: Sesia siningensis
Lineage: Eukaryota; Metazoa; Arthropoda; Insecta; Lepidoptera; Sesiidae
Source: RNAcentral